Long non-coding RNA from Vespula pensylvanica (western yellowjacket), 654 nucleotides. RefSeq lists it as uncharacterized. The record is from RefSeq and is a predicted model, not a curated record. NCBI's taxonomy places the organism in Eukaryota, Metazoa, Arthropoda, Insecta, Hymenoptera, Vespidae. The transcript is spliced from 3 exons.
CUUGGAGGAGUCUAACCUUCUUUCUCUCUCGCUCUUUCACUUAUACACACGUAUACUAUCUCACGUUCAAUUCACCUAGACUUACCAUACAAACCUUCUAUACUUUCUCGACUUUUGCGGGUUUGCCGCGUCGCCCGAGUGAUGGCUUUCAUUCGUCGGGUACCACAAGACCGACAUGGCUCGUUUAACCGCCCCCACUGAUGUAUUUCGUGAAACGAGAGACUGAGAGAGUUGAUAGGAGGGUGGAAAGAGAAGAGGAAGGGAGAGAUAGAGGAAGUGUCGUCGAGGGUCAAUGCGAUUGAAAGCGACGCGGUUUUAGGGCUUGCGGAACGAGGGCAGGCCGCAACUAACUGGACGAGUUGCCGAGUCUCCGAGGCCAACCGCGCUUGCCUGUAACGGACCUACUGUUUGCACAGAUAAGAUAAAACCAACGGCAACAGCAGCAGCGGCAGCAACAGCAAGAAUUAGACUUGAAGGUUUCCAAAACUAAACACGACAGAAGCUGCGGUCGACUCUAUUAGGACGUGAGACCACACUCGUCACGCGGUACUAAUGCUACUCAAACGAGAGUAUCUGGACCAUUCCUGAUAGUCCCAUCGUGCUUUGCAUGCCGGACUCUCCCCUGAUUUUCUCUAUUCAUGAAUAUGACGAAUA